This 468-nucleotide ribosomal RNA is filed under the name uncultured bacterium. Its description in RNAcentral is "partial 16S ribosomal RNA". It matches the Rfam family "Bacterial small subunit ribosomal RNA", at positions 28 to 507 of the family's 1533-position model. The record is from RNAcentral.
GACGAACGCUGGCGGCGUGCUUAACACAUGCAAGUCGAACGGAAAGGCCCUGCUUUUGUGGGGUGCUCGAGUGGCGAACGGGUGAGUAACACGUGAGUAACCUGCCCUUGACUUUGGGAUAACUUCAGGAAACUGGGGCUAAUACCGGAUAGGAGCUCCUGCUGCAUGGUGGGGGUUGGAAAGUUUCGGCGGUUGGGGAUGGACUCGCGGCUUAUCAGCUUGUUGGUGGGGUAGUGGCUUACCAAGGCUUUGACGGGUAGCCGGCCUGAGAGGGUGACCGGCCUCAUUGGGACUGCGAUACGGCCCAGACUCCUACGGGAGGCAGCAGUGGGGAAUAUUGCACAAUGGGCGGGAGCGUGAUGCAACAACGCCGCGUUCGGAAUGACGGCCUUCGGGUUGUAAACCGCUUUCGCCUGUGACGAAGCGUGAGUGACGGUAAUGGGUAAAGAAGCACCGGCUAACUACGUG